CCAUAAUUUCCAGAACAUUAUUCCUCAUUAACCAAAACAAAUUAAUAUACAGUGAGUGAGUCCAAAACAUUGAAAUAUUACUAUUGAAUAUACACAUACACACAUCAAAAGUUUUAAACUUUGAUAUAUAUAGUUAAUUAUUGAGUGAUGAGUUUAUUCUCUUGAUGAUCAUAGCUUUAAGUUUAACAGCAUCAGACAAAGGAGUUGUAACUCUAUAUAACUCCUCGUUGAUGUAACGAUACCUCUUAUUUGUUCUUGCAAAGCUCUCAUCAUAAUUUCUUUUGUUACAGUUUGGAUCUUCUUCGGAAUCUCCACUGCUGAGUUGUACCAGAAGCUUCGCUGCUUCGAUCUCCGAUAGUUGCCUCUUCGUGCUAGUGCCUUUGUUUUCCAUUAUGCAACAUCAUCUCUUUU
Molecule: long non-coding RNA, 411 nt
Filed under: Cicer arietinum (chickpea)
Lineage: Eukaryota; Viridiplantae; Streptophyta; Magnoliopsida; Fabales; Fabaceae
Description: long non-coding RNA (CARI_LNC001825)
Source: RNAcentral